RNAcentral lists this ribosomal RNA (512 nucleotides) under uncultured bacterium. Its description in RNAcentral is "partial 16S ribosomal RNA". It matches the Rfam family "Bacterial small subunit ribosomal RNA", at positions 28 to 523 of the family's 1533-position model. The record is from RNAcentral.
GACGAACGCUGGCGGCGUGCCUAAUACAUGCAAGUCGAGCGGACAGAAGGGAGCUUGCUCCCGGAAGUUAGCGGCGGACGGGUGAGUAACACGUGGGUAACCUGCCCCUUAGACUGGGAUAACUCCGGGAAACCGGAGCUAAUACGGGAUAAUAAAGAGAAUCGCCUGAUUUUCUUUUGAAAGACGGUUUCGGCUGUCACUAAGGGAUGGACCUGCGGCGCAUUAGCUAGUUGGUAAGGUAACGGCUUACCAAGGCGACGAUGCGUAGCCGACCUGAGAGGGUGAUCGGCCACACUGGGACUGAGACACGGCCCAGACUCCUACGGGAGGCAGCAGGAGGGAAUCUUCCGCAAUGGACGAAAGUCUGACGGAGCAACGCCGCGUGAGUGAGGAAGGCCUUCGGGACGUAAAGCUCUGUUGUGAGGGAAGAACAAGUGCCGGGGUAACUACCGGCACCUUGGCGGUACCUCACCAGAAAGCCACGGCUAACUACGUGCCAGCAGCCGCGGUAA